AACUGAUAGUCUCGUGCUUGUAUUCGACGGUGUCACGUUUGCUGGCGUUGUCCCUCGCGAGUCUUUUUGAUUUAAUUUAAAGUCUAAUCUGCCCACUGAUUAUAAUUAAAGGGCUGCAGUAAUUUGACUGUACAAAGGUAGCAUAAUCAUUAGUCUUUUAAUUGAAGACUGGUAUGAAUGAUUUGAUGAAAUAUAAACUGUCUCUAAUUUAUAUUUAAAAUUUAAUUUUUUAGUUAAAAAGCUAAAAUAUAUUUAAAAGACGAGAAGACCCUAUAGAGUUUUAUAAUUUAAAAAUUAAAAUAUUUAUAUUAAAUUUUAAUAUAAUAUUUUUUAAAUUAUUUUGUUGGGGUGAUAAAAAAAUAAAUAAAACUUUUUUUAAAAAAUAUCAAAUUUGGUACACCGGCGAGAAGUUGCCUGUCAUCGCUCGUGCACCAUGUGUCAUACCAUGGUAACCACCAGAGAAACUGAUCACAGUACUAACCACCAGUAUAUGUUUUUAG
RNAcentral lists this ribosomal RNA (500 nucleotides) under Freyeria putli. Its description in RNAcentral is "Chilades putli partial 16S ribosomal RNA". The record is from RNAcentral. Lineage: Eukaryota; Metazoa; Arthropoda; Insecta; Lepidoptera; Lycaenidae.